GACGUAGGGCGCGAGCGUUGUCCGGAUUUAUUGGGCGUAAAGAGCUCGUAGGCGGCUUGUUGCGUCAGCUGUGAAAACCCGCAGCUCAACUGUGGGCUUGCAGUCGAUACGGGCAGACUGGAGUUCGGCAGGGGAGACUGGAAUUCCUGGUGUAGCGGUGAAAUGCGCAGAUAUCAGGAGGAACACCGGUGGCGAAGGCGGGUCUCUGGGCCGAUACUGACGCUGAGGAGCGAAAGCGUGGGGAGCGAACAGG
Molecule: ribosomal RNA, 253 nt
Filed under: uncultured bacterium
Lineage: Bacteria
Description: partial 16S ribosomal RNA
Rfam family: Bacterial small subunit ribosomal RNA
Source: RNAcentral